RNAcentral lists this long non-coding RNA (11431 nucleotides) under Sarcophilus harrisii (Tasmanian devil). Its description in RNAcentral is "lncRNA (ENSSHAG00000026013.1)". The record is from RNAcentral. Lineage: Eukaryota; Metazoa; Chordata; Mammalia; Dasyuromorphia; Dasyuridae.
CCUCUUUUAGGAUUGGCUAUCCUUUCAUAUCCAUAAGAUAAUUAAAACGAAGGGGAUUUUUUUAACUUUUUUUUUUAAUCAGCCAGUGGUUAAUGCAACAGUUUAGCAGAUGCUUUACUAUUUUAAAAAAAAAAAAUAUCCUCUAAAAUAACCGGAUCUUCUCAAGCCAGGGGACACCAAGAAGACCCGCAAAUGGGUUUGCUCCGGCUUGCGGAAUGUUUAAAAACUCGGCACUUCGUUCCCCUCGAAUCAGUGGUGUGGCCAAUAUCGGUUUUCUGCCAGUUUAACUAGCCUGUUUGUGAAGCAUUCCUUGAUAACGUUAUUGUCCCAGUAUCUACCUUCUACUACUCAAACCUUGGUCACCAGAAAUCUGGAGGAAGGCUGGCCAUCUUGGAUGCCUCUGAAUCAGGCAAGAAAAGGCACAGAGUAACUGCUCCAUUUGACUAAUUGAUUUUGGACUAGGGUCUCAAUUUUAGGGAAGGUACAGUCUAACGGUCCCCUGGGAAAUCUUUUUCUCUAACUCAACUGUUAACAGAGAUAGCAAAUCCUCAUCUAAGUCCCCAUCAUUCCUGCAGCCUGGGCACCAGAAUCUGCAUCUCUGGGAGUCAACCAUAUUUUUAAAAAGAGGUUUUAGUUAUUCUAGACCAAUUGUCUUCAUUCCAAUUCUUCUGGUAAACUGUAUAAUUGUUGUUCUCUUUCCCCCAAAAUAAUCAGGCACAAAUUCUUAUCUGCGCCCAUAUUACUUGUCUUUCAGUUCACCUACAUACAUGGAAGGGACUAAAAAGGUGUUGAAAAAGGCUGGACAUUACUUUGUAAGAGUUUGGUCUUUGUGUGAUACUAUUUCUUUAAAAAAAAAUCAGUCAGACUCAUCUUGUAUGUUUUGAAGAAAAGCUGGAACUUGUUUUGUGGGAGAAAAUAGAGCUCCUUUUCCUAUAUUUAUGAUUCAAAGCAAAGCACUGCCUCUAUCUUAUGUUUUGUGCUGGAUAAUUCAAAAUAAACUGGACUAUAAAGAGGAAUCAAAAGAAUCAGGCCAGAUGGACCAUAAAUUUAUGUUUUGUGUUGACGGAAUUAUAUCUCAAUUUCCUUUGUCAUCUUUUUUCAAAUCUAAUUUCACAUUUUCCAAAUGGUCACAUGAGAAACAACUUUGACCCUGCUUUCAAGCUUCCAUAAUGUCUUAGGAUACGGCACACUUUCAGAAACUUCUGAGAGCAAGCACAAAACUGAGGGAUUGUGUGGAGAACAUAAAAUGUUCUGAAAACAGAUGGGACACUUGAUUUUCAGGCCUCAGAAACAUUGUUCAGGUGACAUGGAACCACUCGGCUGGUGGCUAGUUGCAAACAAAUUAAAUCCUUCUCUGUCUUUAUCUCUGUCUCACUCUGUCUCUUUCCUUCUCUCUUUCCUCUCCCCCCCCCCACUCAAAUUAAAUUAAGAGCUACUAAAUGCCAACAUUACAGUUUUAAGACUUUUAGGGAAUAUGAAACAAUGAAAACUUUACUCUGAAGAAAAGGUAGUUAACAUCUCUACACUGAGCUGUUGCAUGUGUUUCUCUGUCCUUUUUUAUGGAAAUAAUUAUAGGUAAAAAUUAAUUUAGAUCGUUACCUUUUUUACUAUCACUGUAAGAAUUAGACUUUUUUUUUUUUAAGAUGGAGGUCAUUUAUUUAACUGGCAUUAGGUUAUCCCAUUUUAAGUAAGAUAGCUUGUUCUCUAUAUUUGGAGGGUGGGAUGGAUAUAUAUUAACAGAAACAAGGACUAGAGUUAGGUAAGUUAUGUAACUGCUUAGGGUUCAAUAAACAAGAAGAGCAUAAAGAGGAAUGCUAUUUUAUAUGACUUUUAAAAUGCAUAUAAUUUUAAUACCAGAAAAUUUCACUGCCGACAACACCUGGAUUUUUAUUCUGUGUUGUCGUCUCCUGCGCUAAAGACUUAAGCUCUACGAUCAACUGUUACAUGUAGAGGGCGCAGUUUUCAAACCAAGAUUUACUACUGACGGGGAGAAGUGAUUUUUGUAAGAUACUCAGGUCCCACAAAUAUCUAAACAUAGUUCUGAGUGGGAGUACAUUGGAGAUAGGGGUGGGUAAGACUGAGGAUAAGAGAAGAAAGGCUCUCUCUCCUCUUUCCCCCAAUGUUCUGACUUGUCCUGGCAGAUGGAGCUUUCCAUGCCGGCGUCAGUGGCGGUGACAGACUGAGGGCAGAUGCAGUUCCUUCGAUUAAUUUCUAUUCCCGAAACUUUAAACUCAUUAUAGGAGUCAUCGAUUACUUGAGAAUUUCAAUUCCUUUCCUUCAGAUUAUCUCUGAGCUCUGUCUUGACUCCCAUUGUGCCUUCCUGUGUUUGUAUUUGCAGAGUCCAGUCUGUCAUAGAACAAGAGGCUGAGUGUAUCAAAGUGAGAAGCAAUGAAUUCAUUUUUUAAAAUGAAAAAAAAAAACCAACAGAGAAUUAUCUUAAUAUUAAUUAUCCUUCUGAAGAUUUCUACUUUCUAUGAAUGCUAAAAAUUAGAGUACUAGAUAAUCCUAAAUAUAAACUUUUAUUGGAGAGAGAACUUUUUAAGAGACAAGGGAGAAAUACCUCAAUUUUUUUUUUUUUUUUUUUUUUUUUUUUGCGUGUGGUAGGGAAAAUAAGGCUUGUGGUGACCAGAGAGAACGUGUCUACACUGACUUUAGCAAGGGGUGAGCCAUCUAAUCUUCUCUACACUUCUGUGGGACUAUAACGCAUGAAAAAGUAUUGAAGUGAACUGACCUUUUUGUUACUUAGACCUUUCAAGGGCUUGUCCACUCUGGUUGAAGCACAACACCAGCAAGGGCAACAUUUACCUCCUGUCAGGAGGAAACCACUCGAAGUUUGAUUGAGGAAGUAGUUGUGAUUUUGCAAACACACCGUUUAUCUGUCGAAAGUAGCGGAUUUCAAUUAGAUUGCGGCGAAGACUCCAUGACAAUAUUCAUUUACAAGAGAAGUGCACCUUAAAGGAAGGAGCUUUGCAGUAAUCUGAAUAACGGAGUCAACUUGCUUCUGAAUACCGAAUUUAAGGUCGCAUUUACAUUUCUAACUCCCAGCAUUGCCUGCCAUCCUGGGGAAUAGUGUUUUGCAGCCUUCUUUGUAACUCCACGUGGAUGGGAUUUCUACAGGAUGGUUUUUUUCCCCCCAAACAUUUUUUUCCCCUUGCAAGUUAUAGGGGACUUCUUGUACAGAAAAACGACUUUAGACAGGGUUGUUAGGUUUCAAGUUAACAAAAAGAAACACUUUUAUUGUCAAUAUUAAUGGAAAAACUCGAUUUUUUACGAGGUUUGGGUUUAGCAGCGUGCAUAGAUCAAAAGCAGCCUGGUUUGAUUUUCAAAUAUUCUCUGGAGCUUAGACAAUUACCUGUAAUUUUGCUUCCAACGACACAACACAAAAAUGUUAGUUAUGUAAAUGUUACUGCCAUGGGGGGUGGGGGUGUGUGAGAAUGGAGCAGGCAGAACUCUCUACCUGUUUCUGCAACGUCAGAUUCUAAUAAAUUUUUUCCAUAGAACCUGAGUUCAGUUUUUUAAGGCAUCCUUCUAAUAUAGAUAAUCUUGUGAUCGGUUUAUUGACAAUUGCACCCUACUCCUUACUCUGUAGCUGUAUACAUCCCACUAUCAGCACAUAUAUCCAAAGGUAAUGAAUCUGGCUGAGUGAGGUCUUUUUUGGUAAUUUGGAUACACCAAGUCUCCAGUUAAUGACAUAUAAUCAGCCUUUGGGUCAUUUGGUCAUUCUCUUAUUACAAACCCCUCCUGCUCUCUCUGAUCUCCUUUCAAACUAAAUUUCACACAAACAAAUAAAGCAAGACAGGGACAAGUCCUUUAAAAAAGGGAGAAUAUUAGAAACGCCUGAUACACAACUCCAAACACGGAAAGGAAAACUCAAAGAGAAUAGGAAAGAACAUCUUAUCAAAAAGAGCAUGUUGUGUACAAAACAUUAAAAGAAAAUGCUCUGGUUUAUGUUAAAGUGACAGAAAAUUAAAAUAAAAAUAAUUGCAAACAGAAAAGUCAUAAUAUAAACAGAGAAGGCAGAAUGCUGGCUAGAAAUGCGUGAGGAGGAUAAUUUGUUGUUUUAGAUUAUGUAUCUGAAAUGUGAUUGGUGAGGCGUUGCUUUGUUCCAUUUUCCAAAGAGUGAGAGAGGGAAAAAAAAGAGAUGGCUUUCUCUUUAGUGCGUGUGUGAGCCCGCACAAGUUAACACAGGCCAAGACCCCAAGGAAAGAAAAAGUGACCCAGCUGUUCCUGCAUUACAAAGCCUUCGUCUCUCCCUCCCUGCGCCCCCCCCCCCCCCAGCGAAAGAAUUAGUUAUAUAAAAAUGCAUAAUUCUUUGGAGGAGUACACCAACUCAAUCUCAGAUUUUUCUGCUUGAAGUUCCUAAGAUUAUAUUAUCCUGGAGAUCUUAAGUUUGAUCCUGUCUGAGGCCAUCACUUACCUAAGGUCCCCACUUUUCUUUCUAUGAAGUUCCUAACUCUAGAAAUAGUGUAUUUCAAGCUGUCUAGUACACAUUUAGAAAAGAAGACCAUUGACUUUUGCCACCAUCUUAUCCUAGUAACUAUGCGACCAGUAUUUGGUCUAGCUGAAAACAAUUCUACAUUCAAAAACUCCAAAGAUAAGUUAACUGUCCUCAAUUCCUCUCUAAAUCCUGUCUCAUUUCCUUGGAUCCUCUUCUCACCUUUAGACAGCUGUUGCCCCAUAUACAAACUUCUGAAAAGUACAGUGGAGCUGAGAAGAUAGCUUGAGAAGCAACUGGAUAAAUCUCCCCAAACAAGAUGGAAAAGUCUUGAAUGAGACCAUUUGAGUAUAACCCCAUGUAUAGGCGUGUAACCCUUUUUGGUCCAUGGGCAAGUUAAGCAGCCCUAUGAUUUUAGCUGACUCAUGAAUGCAGUUUAGCCUACAUUUAAAAGUUUGGCCAAAAUAUUCUUAGCUUCCAGAGCCGACUUAUUAAAAUAUUUAAGCCCUCUGUUUAUAAACACUGAUCACUUGGGACUAUGCAUUAAAAUCACCUCCUUCUUGUUGGAUCCACUGAAAAAAUGGGUGUUGGACCUGACUAGGUUUUACUGCCAUUUCUUUUUUGGGACCACUGAGUCCAGCUGACUUUCCUUUUUUAAUUUCAUGAGCCGGAAUGAACCAGAAUUCCCGCCUUUAAUUUCUACCAUCCUCAAUUCUUUCUUUCUCCAUAUUCACAAGAGAAAUGCUAGAUGAAUUGACAGGCAGAUUUAGGAGGGAAUAAGAAAGGUAGAGAAAGAGAGGCAUAGAGAAGCAGAGACAGAGACAAACAAUUUGAGGAGGGAGAUACAAGUAGGCAAAGAAAGGAAAAAGUAAGACAAGAACCACAUGGGGAAGGGAAAACGACAGAGAAGUAGAGAAGGUCUGAGACUUAGAAUCGCACGCAUCUUUUUUGGGGGGCGGGAGCGGGGGAAGACUUUCAACUCUCACCAGCAAAGCACACCCAGAGCUUUUUCCAGAGGAGUCAGUGUUGAGUACCCUCAUGUUAGAUCUCCUGCCCUAACCGUUACCCUGUUUUGCCCUAGCCAUUUGGGCAUACAAGACUAGGCUCGAUGGUCUUUUGAUUUCUCUCUCUGCCGGGCCAAAAAAGAGAAAAGGACAAUGACAAAGAUAGAGGGGUUUAGUCUCCAGAUUAGAUUUGCAACCAUUUGGUUGGUAUAUCUAUUAUAGAGCAUUUGAUUAAAGUGCUUAAGACAUCUUUAGUCCCUCCUGAUUUGAUUGCAGUCCAUUUUCACCCUGCCCCCACCGGCCCUGAAAAAAAUUUGAUGGUACAUCGACCCAUCAGUCUCAAGUCCUGACUUCACCAGUUAGUUGUAUGAGGAAGAGGGAUGAGGUGGCCCUCAGAACAUCCUUAGCUGCCGAGAGAACUUGCCAAGGAAGGAAGAAUUCAGUAUACAAAUAAAUCCACACACUGUCGCUCGGAUUUAGACCUGCGGAUUCCCCGCCAAUCCCAUAUCAUUUAGGUUUUGGGACCCUUUUUUGUCCUGAUGAAAUUCUCAUUUUUGCCACGGAGGAGCCCCUUUUUCUUUCUACCAGGCCCGCGGGGGGUGGGGAGGGAAGGAAGGGGGCGGAGAAAUCCUUUUUCCUCUUCUGCUUUCAAGUUUUUUUUUUUUUUGUUGUUUUUUUUUUUAAGCAGGGGGUGGGUAGGAAGGGGUUAACUAUUUCUCCCUCCGCCUCUUUGGCUCUAGCUGCACCCCCUCGAAUGCCACUGCUUUCCUCUAGAGGUCUCAUUAGGGAAACCCUCACCGCUAUUUUCAACAUUUCCUCAAUCAAGUGCCUUUAAAUAUAGCUGCACAAACAAAUUGGCGGCAAAAAGCGUAGAUCUUGUCACGAUUGAGACCAAUCCAAUAUUUCAGCCUUGUUUGCUUUGUAAUUACUGGUUGGUUUGUGGCUCCGGUGCCACUGGGGCAAAUCGGCCGAGGGCCCAGUAGCAGCGGGAAGAGCUUCGGUUGCCCCAGAGAGGACUGACUGAUUGCCCUGGUGCCCACCCCCUUAGACUUCGGGCGGAUGCAAGAGGGGGUGAUGAUCUCCCUGAGAGCGAGGGGGGUUGUGUAUGGUAGGGACACUCGUCCUCAUUUGUGAAGAAAUCCACUGGACUUUAACCUCCCCCCCCCCCCCCCCAAGCCCAACCUUUCCUCCCUCUCCCCAAGAAAACCUUUUUUCCUAGCCAUUCUAAUAUUCUAAUACAUUCGUAUUGGUCUUGUUUCCCCCCUUUGGAUUUUGGCAGUGGGGGUUCUUUCUUCCUUCUCCCUCCCCAGUCUAAUCUUUACAGGAUUCUGCCCCCCCCAACUGUUGGUAUGAUUUGUUUUAUUUUCCACAGCUGCUUAUUCUUGUUUGACUUUUUGUCCAAAGCCACUUUAAAUCUGCUGCAGGAAGAAUAAAACUCGCAGCUCUUUGGAUGGGUUUCUGCAUGCAUGUGGCUGCCCCUGGCCCACUUUAAUUCCUGCCUAAUAGCUCUUCUGUAUAAAUCAGACCUGGGAUAUGUUUGGUCACUGUGCAAGCAGCCGCUAGUUUGUAUCAGCAAAACAGUAGUUAACUCAAAUCAUGUCCUAAGCCUUAUAUUUCACAGACAAUUAAACCUUGGCUGCUAUUUAACAAAGCUGUAAUAUUUAUUCUGUUCUAUUCUGAAGACCAUUUUUAAAGUCCAAAGCAAAUACUACAUUUCAAGAAGAAAAUAUAGUAAUAAAUCUCUUUUUAUGGAUUCUCUCUCCAUAAGAGGAAAACAAAAUGAUUUAACUCCGCCCACUCCAGCUGAAGUUAUAAAGAUAAUUAUCAAUGAACACACUUUAUAUUCAAAUGGAAUUAAUAUUGAAUAGGACCUGUAUGCAUGUUAUAUUUUAUUUCUUUGCAAGUGCUCUUAUCAUUUCUGAGUCUCAUGUAGAUAGAUAUUCUAAAGUUUAUCAUGUCUGAGCUAUGAGUUUUUUUACAUAGGGUACAGGGAUAGAGGGGGAUGAACAUUGUUAUAGGGAUGAUUAUUUCAGGAUCACUUUCUAAUAGACAUACUUAUUUCAAAGGUAGGUAUUUUUUAAAAUAGGAAUCUUUAGAGUAUUUCCUUAUUUUUUUAUUUUUAAUUUUUUGCCAUUUAACUUAAGAAUCAGAAAAGUGUGGAUGAAACAUAGUAAAACCACAGAAGAAGAAAAUGGAACCAUUAAUGAGAAGAAAUCCUAUUAUUUUAGUCAAUAGUAAAUUAUUUUAUUUCAUGGUUUUAUUCCCCCCCCAAAAAAAAGUUUUAGAAAUUCUAGCUAGUUACUUCUCAAUAAUUUUGCAUUCUUCCUGUCUUAUUUGGAUUGUUGUUUAAACAGUUUGAAUUUGAUGCACAUUUCAUAAAUUGUAGUUGUCAAAACUUCAAGGGAAUAAAUUAUAAUUAUUAGUAGAAUACAGAGAUAAGCCUGGCUGGCUGACCUCUCAUAUUUUCUAUGCCAUCUUCUUAUAGGUUGGUGGCACUAGUAUUUAGGGAAAGGGGAAGCAACAACUUCAAGAGAUGAUUUUUUUUUCACGAGAAUUUUCUUUACUCAAGAGUUGUUCUGGAAUAUUAUUAAAAAUUAAAAAAAAUUUGAGUGUAAUUUUCAUUGUGCUAAUCUGUUUAGUAUUAUAUUCUGAAUUUCUUAACUAUUAAAAUGCUUUGCCAUAUUACUUUCAAAUGAAGGAUCUUAGAUAAUUAUGAAAAUUUUGAUGUUAAUGCUUUGUUAAGUGAAAAACGGGAAAUGAUGUAUUGGAAUCUUUAAAAUAUCUUUAUGCUUUUAUACACUAGGAAAAACACACACACAUGAUUAUGGUUGGGGAUGUGUAUGCCAUUCCUCUGAAGUUGCUCUACAAGAAUAUAAAUAUAUUUACUCUUUAAAAAAAGGGGGGCAGUUUUCAAUUAUUUUUUAACAGAAAACUUUCAAUACAACACUGUGUUUAGUAAUGCCAUAAACCACAGCCACUUUCUACUGACAGCUACAAGAUUUUUCUUCAUUACUCUUCAUUACUCCGUUUGCAAACGAAGAUAGAGUGCCAUUCUAAAACAUCAAAAUAGGCAGAGUAACCAUUAUAUUUUACAUAUUCAUUUAUAUAGGUUAAUGCUCUUACAAUGAAAAACAUAUGCUGAGCAUGUAAAUGCUCCUUUUAGAAAUGCUUUUUUCGAUGCACAAUUAUUAUUAUUUUAAAAAUCAACUCUCAGUUUUCAUGCCACAAUUUUUUACUUUAAACAAGCAUUGCAUUGUUUUAAACAGUAGCUACUGGAACAAUACUGCCCUUAGUGUUUUAGCUUUUCCAACAACAAUUGGAAUUGGAUAAAUGCUUUCAGCUGGGAGCACUUUCCUAAUACCUUUGUAGGUAAUAGGUUUCCCAGUUUGUGCUGGGUGACAAAAACACAGUGCACCAGAUAGGCCUCCCUGUCCUCUGCAAAGACUGUCAGGAAGUUGAUCAUGGCAUAAAAUGGAGCCUUUCUAUGAGAGUAGGGUAUUUCUUUGUGACCCUGUUUCUUAUUUUGUUUAAAAAAAUGAAUUAACAGAAACAAAACUAAUGUUUCUUGAGGUAUAGCUACCAAGUGAUGACUUAAAAAGGGAUGGAAAAAAGAAAAUGGGGUGGGGUGGAGAUAUAUGGCGAAACAUAAGAGGAAACCGAGGAAAUUUGGUUCAUCAGUGUCUAGACAUGGAAAAACAGGAGAAUGACAGCUUGGUUCUAAUCAUCUGAUCUGAUAAAUGACUUAUUUUUUUUCUUGCCAAUAACUCAGUUAUUUCUAUUAAUUUCACUAUACAUAAAAAGUAUAAUCAGAGGGGGUAAAGACUAAUUCAAAGAUAGCUGUAAUCUUGAAAGACUUCUAAAAGCAGGAAAAAACCCAAGUAUGUGAUCUCAACAUUAUAUUUUUAGAAGGAUAAUGUAUGUUUUAUUAAACAAAUUUCCUUUAUAAUGUCAUUUAUAGAGUCGAACAAGAUAUAUCAAAAAGUAUUGUGCUUUUCCAAACUGUGAUUAAACUUGAAUAAUCAAAUAUUUCCAUAAAGACCAGCUAGCUGAAAAAAAAGUGAGAAAACUUCUUUUAGCAAGAAAUUCAGCUACUGUUAUUAAGACAAAUUAGGCAAAGCAGAAAAUUGCCUUCAAGUAUAUCUAAUAACUUCUUUUUAACUCCAUUGUUUUUUUCUUUUUCUUUAUAUAUCUAAUACUUAAUAGUGUAAUGCCUGCCAUAUAGUGAGCAUUUAACAAAUGUUUAUUGAUUGAUGUGCUACCGUUGUAUGCUAUAUGUGUAUUAUGCUUUUAAUGUAAUUUCCAUUUUAUUUUUCUUCAACUAAUAAUCAUUUAUUUUCUCUCCUACACAUUUGUCAAAUCAAACAACUUCCCACAAUGACCAUGUUCAGAAAUGUAUGCUUCAUCUUGUAUCUUGAGUCUAUUAUCUUUUGUCAGGAGAUGGGUUCUGAUUUUAAAAUAAAGAUUAUUCCAGUUUUCAAGUUUAAUCAACUUUGUUUUUCUAUGUAUAUGGAAAUAUUUAUAAGUACAGAAUAAAAAAAGAAAGAAAAUAAAAAAGAGCAAAGAUUAUUUUGAUAGCUUUCAAAUGAUUUUUUUCUAAUAAGAAGCUUAUCAGGUACAUAUUUCUCUUUGAUGACAAGAAUCACAUAUUGUGUUUAUCAGUUGAUAUGAUUAGCUAUUUUAUUGUAGCUUCUCAGUUGUAGCUCAGAGAAAAGGCAGUGUGUAUAAUGGAAAGAACCUAAUGUUUGGAUUCAGAGUACAUGGCUUUAGCUACCUGUAUUACCUUGGGCAAGUCAACCUGACUAACCCUGCUUGAAUUUUCUCAUCUGUAAAAGAGGGUACUGGAAUUCAUGUUCUUCUGAUUAUAAAUUCUGUAUUACACACACACACACAUAUACAUAAAUAUACACAUACACAUAUAUUUCAGAAACACCAAAAUAAAAUUGGCAGAACCAGGAAAACAAUAAACAAAAUGAGUAUAAUAAUACAAAUGGAAAUAACUCAAAAGUAUUGGGUUUUGUGUAUUUCUGAUGGCCAAACUUGCCUCUGGAGAAGAACUGGGAAAAUAUAUCUCCUUCCCUUUAUCAUAGAAGUGGUGGUGGUUGGGACUAUAAAUAUGGAACAUUACAUACAUUGUCAGAUGAUGUCUGUGUUUUGGGUGAUUUUCUUGAGCUGUUUUCUAAUUUUUUAAACGACAGACGAUCAUCUAGGAAAGAAAGGGGAGGAGGAGUGCAUUCAGAAACAGAUAUAUAAAAAAGGGCUUUAAUAAAAGUUCAUCUUAAAAAUAAUAAAGGAAGAACUCAGUUAUUGUGUAUAUAGAGGAAAGGGAGGAAAUAAAAUUUAUCAGUAGGAAGGCAGGAAUGAUGACAAACUUGCUUUUAAUUUUGAAUUCAUGAUUAUUUGGAUUGUAAUUUGUAUUUUUUUUUGAAAGAGAGAUCAAGUUUGGACCUGUGUUUUCAUCACUGUAUAAAACUUCUUCUAUGAAAGUAGAUUCAUUACAGCCUAAUUUAUAGCCAAGAGAGUUGUUGGGAAUGGGAUAAGGUUGGGAACUGAGAGGGUAAGUGAUUUGCCCAUGAUCACACAGUAAUAUUACACCAGGGGCAAGGCUUGGAUCUUCAUCUUCCUUACUUGAACAACAACUUUCUCCAGUACUACAUACAACCUCUUCAUGGUAUUGAAAUGUAUAAUUACUUGUUCUUGACAAACUUUGUAAUUAGUAAUACCUUAUAAAGCAUAGAUUGAGAAAUUUAUAAGUGGUUUGACUAAGAAUUCAGUAGUUUUAAAUUUCUGUUUUAUGUAUACAUAUUUAUUAAUAAUCACAGUAAAAACUUUAUUCUCAAAAACAUUGUUUUUAUGUAUUUAUUUGACUUAAUUCUCUCUCACUAUCCCCAACCAACAUCAUUUUACACUUGCUAAUGUUUGCUUAAAAAAAUUAACAGCAAUAAACUUUUGCUACCCAAUGUGGAAGGCUAUUUCUAAAACACCAAACCUUUCC